RNAcentral lists this long non-coding RNA (1011 nucleotides) under Papio anubis (olive baboon). RNAcentral describes it as "lncRNA (ENSPANG00000043216.1)". Lineage: Eukaryota; Metazoa; Chordata; Mammalia; Primates; Cercopithecidae. The record is from RNAcentral.
AAUUCUGAGUCAGAGGAGCUAAAUGUCUGCUGGCUUCCUGACUCACGAAGGUCAGUUUGAGACCAGGCGCGGUGGCUCAUGCCUGUAAUUCCAACUCUUUAGGAGGCCAAGGUAGGCGAAUUAGGAUUUCAGGACCAGCAACGUGGUGAAACCCUGUCUCUACAAAAUACAAAAAUUAGCUGGGCAUGAUGGCUGGUGCCUGUAAUCCCAGCUAGUCGGGAGACUGAGGCAAGAGAAUUGCUUGAACCCAGAAGGCAGAGGUUGCAGUAAGCCAAGAUCACGCCAUUGCACUCCAGCCUGGACGACAGAGAGAGACUCCAUCUCAAAAAAAAAUAAAAAUUAAUUAAUUAAAAAUCAGUUUGAUUGGUGAGGAGGUGUGAAGGUCAGGAAUGAUCUGGAGGCAGAUCUGAGUGAGUGGAGUUUGGGAGGUCCUCUGAUUAACCCUGGACAAUGGGCAUCUCCACUAAAUAAGCCAGAGGACCUCUGAGUUGAGACAGAGGUGAAGAAGGGAGGAUACUAGUGCGAGCUGCCCAAGAGAAGUUCCCCAUUUCCCCACUCUGGGGUGGAAUGCAGCUGCUGUGUGGGAAACAACCAUUCUCCCUGCCCGCUGCAAACUAGGGCACACCCUUUGCAGUCCAGAGUCCGCACCCUCCUGGUGUGAGCUAUGGAAAGGGUGCCCAUCCCCUGCCCUACCAACCAGAUUCCAAGUCUCGGAAAUUGAUCUGACAGUUUGGAAACUCCAGCUGCAUCCCCAGGAAUGCAGAUAAGGAAACUCAGUCCCAGAGAGGUGAAGUGGGCUGCCUGAGGUCACACAGAGGGUAAGAGGCCGAGCAAGAUCUGGAAACAGGGCUCCUGGCUCUGUACCCAGUGCUCUCUGCUCUGAAUGAGGGGGUUGGGGUGGGGAUGGUGAUCUAGAUGUGGCUAUGGGAAGCCAAAGAGAAGAGAACUGUGCCAGAGCUGGAGGCAGGUUCAGAGCUGGCAUCGUGGGUGGGAGUCAUCUACCUACACCUG